CCAACGGCCCUCUUUAGAGCCACAAAUGUACUAAAAUCCAUUAUC
Caenorhabditis elegans is the source of this 45-nucleotide non-coding RNA. Lineage: Eukaryota; Metazoa; Nematoda; Chromadorea; Rhabditida; Rhabditidae. The record is from Rfam.